AUGAAAACUUAAGCUUUGUUGCUAAUGGGCCUCCUCUCUGUGUUCAUUAAAAUACUUACAUUUUUUAUUUUUUUAAUUUCCUCAAUACCUUUUUUUUUCUGCUGUGCAGCCUGGUGACCCAGUUACACAUACAUGUAUACAUUCUAUUUUCUCCCAUUAUCAUGCUCCAUUAUAAGUGACUAGACAUAGUUCCCAGUGCCACACAGCAGGAUCUCAUUGCUAAUCCAUUCCAGAGGCAAUAGUCUGCAUCUAUUAUCCCAAGCUCCUGGAUUAGGAAGAUGUAGUAUAUAUACACAAUGGAAUACUACUCAGCCAUAAAAAAGAACAAAAUAAUGCCAUUUGCAGCAACAUGGAUGGAACUAGAGACUCUCAUACUGAGUAUGCAUAUGUACCAUGUGUGUGUGGCACAUGUGUGUUUGUAUACUAUGUGGGUGUUGUAUGUCCAUAGGUACCAUGCAUACAUUGUACACGUGUGUCUGUACCAUGUACAUGUGUAUUAUACUUGCACAUGUAAAUUUAGCCAAGGAAGGGAAGGAACUGGCAGUGGUAAAUGUAAGACUUUGAAACUCAGGAAGGCAAAAUAAAUGGGAAGAUAAAGUGUGUUCAUGGAUCAGGAGAAUUAAUAUUGUGCAUAUGUGUGCACAUUUGUAUGUAUGCACAGAUACCAUAACCACUCUGCACAUAUGUGGCCUGUAUAUUAUAUAUGUGUUUAUGCAUGUACAUUGUAUGUAUAACAUAUACUACAUGCACACAUGUGUAUGUGUACAUUGUGUGCAUUUACACUGUAUAUAUGCUAUAAAAAUACACUAUAUGUGUAUAUGUGUGCAUUACAUAUAUUUCAUACAUGCACUAUAUGUAUAUAUAUACAUACAUUCUAUGCAUGUAUGAUGUGCAUAUACUCUGUAUGUACAUAGUGUAUACAUUAUGGUUAAUGUUAGUGCAUAUGUUCAUUGUGUGUAUGCAUGUAUACAUGCCAUAGAUGCUGUGUAUCCAUGCUGCAUUAUAUAUGUAUGAACACUGUGUGUAAACUACGUGUGUAUCCACUGUAAGGAUAUAUAUGGCUGUUUCUCUGUAUGUGUGGACACACUAUGCAUGUGCUGUAUAUGUGCAUACACUCUGUAUAUGUCUGCAUAAUAUGUAUAUAUGAACACUAAACUAUAUGUGUAUCCACCGUAAGGAUAUAUAUGGCUAUAUUAUGUGUGCACAUGUAACUAUCUUUGUAUGUGUGGACACUCUGUGCAUGUGCUGUAUAUGUGCGUACACUCUCUAUAUGUCUGCACAGUAUGUAGUGUCAGGAAUACAGCUCCAGCAGGGCUCCAGCGCAUGACCAUUUGGCUGGCUUGGGGAGAGUAAUGUGUGAAACACUCGUUCCGGAUCGCAUAGUAUACGAAAUUUGGCAAGUUAAUGGGCCUUUGCAAUGAUGUAGGGACCAAACACUUCACUGAUGGAUGUGUGUGUGUUCACUUAAUCAUCAUAACAGCCCUGUGAAGUAGGUUUUAUCUCCAGAUGAGGACUGAGAUUUACUGGUGACUUGUGUAAGGAAAGGAAACUUAAAAGUAAUGGUAGCAUCAUGUCAACUAUCUUUUCUUCAUUUACUUUCUUAUCACAACCUUUGUUAGCAUUUAACUAACAACCUGGAAGUUGCCACUCAUCAGGAAAUAGGAUCAUCUUCCAACUGUUUAUAUUUAUUCAAAGAGUAGUGACUGCUGUUUUCCUGUCACUGUGUAGCAAAAUGCCAUUAAUGUUGCCAGUGUGAGCAGUUCAAAAUAAACACAGUAUCACUCUUAAAAUUGAAAAUGAACAUAAGUUCAUUUUUUAGGUAUUGUUUGGAAGGAUAAGAAAAAAGACAUUUAAGAUGAAAGGAGGGUUUCUUUGCCAUUUCUUUGGGAAUUUCCUUUUGGUGGAUUAUUGCUAGAAUAUUCUUUUUUUUUUUUUUCUUCCCCUCAGGGUUCUGCUUUUGGUGAAACGAAAGUAGUUAAAGUCUUUGGGUUUUGUCUCAGCCAAGUUCAGCUUACUAAUUACUACAGUAAAUCACAUAAAAUUACAUACUAGUUAAUAUAAGUACCUGGAAGGCAGGAGUUGGUUUUAUACUUUUUGUAGCUACAGCACUAAUGGCUGCAAACUGUUCCUCUGGCCAUUCCUAGACAAACCUUCACAGGGUUAUGUGCCAAGCAUGGUAUUAGUUCCAGAGGAUACAAAAAUGAAUUCAAGCUUUAAUUUGUGAAGCUCUCACCACACUUGGAGAGCACGUUGACAACUGGUGUGACAAAGUGUAAAAAACAGGUGUUCAGACUGUUUUGGGCAUGUAGAAAAUGGAAUUGACUUGAUGUGAUAAAAUUUUCGAAUUUACUUUUGUGUUUAUUCUACUGAUAAUCCUGAUGCUUUCUUUUUAACCUUAAAGAUUGUUGUUAAUCACUGAUGAAUUGGUAAGCAACUCUGUGUGUGUUCUAAAUCUAGUGAUGCGUUCAUUAACUGGAGACCAUUCACCUCGAUGGGGACAGUAAUAUGUCAAAAGACGGCCCAGUUCCACGCCAUCGAAGGGUCGUUAAAUACCACCGGGUGCAUCCUUGCUGGGAUUUGCUCAGGUGGGAAAUGGCAGCAUUUCGUCUUUUGCUGAUAGGUGCACUCAGGGUGCGGGAGUGAGCAGUUCAAAUUUAGAUGUUUAAAAAAAAAAUAAAAAACAAAAAAA
Molecule: long non-coding RNA, 2689 nt
Filed under: Sus scrofa (pig)
Lineage: Eukaryota; Metazoa; Chordata; Mammalia; Artiodactyla; Suidae
Description: lncRNA (ENSSSCG00065025235.1)
Source: RNAcentral